Long non-coding RNA from Clupea harengus (Atlantic herring), 379 nucleotides. The record is from Ensembl. Lineage: Eukaryota; Metazoa; Chordata; Actinopteri; Clupeiformes; Clupeidae.
CUCGGUCUUGAUAAUAUGAAACUGUAGUAUGUACAUACUUUUAAUACAAAAAAUAUUUGUCAUCUAACAAAACCAGUUUCUGUGUGCUCAAAAACAUGGGCCUGUAAACAGGGGCAUCUCCCUUUUGUGGUUUUCUUCUUGUGAGGUGACUUUUGUCUCUUGAGCCAAGUGCAUCAUACUGCACGUUAAGGGGAUCCUUAUCUGUAAAAGUGCCUGGACCUGAUAAACUUUUUCUUCUUGUCAGGUGACUUUGGUCUCUUGAGCCAAGUGCAUCACACGGCACGUUAAGGGGAUCCUUUGCUGUGAAAGUGCCUGGGCCUGAUAUACUAUUGAAAGCAGCAGAAGAAGUUACAAGUAAAGACGCAGCAUACAGCAAGUU